Salvia hispanica is the source of this 1070-nucleotide long non-coding RNA. RefSeq lists it as uncharacterized. Lineage: Eukaryota; Viridiplantae; Streptophyta; Magnoliopsida; Lamiales; Lamiaceae. The record is from RefSeq and is a predicted model, not a curated record.
CAAAUUACAGAGCUGCGCCGCUUUCUUCUUCGUCUUUUCCUUAGUUCUGCGAUUUUUCUUCUUCCUCAAUUUUUUCAUGAAGCUUUUUCUCUUCGGUGAAACUGUUUCACUUCUCACCUAAUUUCUUUUCUUUUAAUUCUCUUCCUCAUCUUUCUUCCAUGGACACGAAGCAGGCAUAGCGUGGGGUCGGAGCUGAUGCUGCGCUGGGUCGACGGCUGAUUUUGGGAGGUUCUCGGAGGUUUUCACGGACCGGCGGUGGGGUCCGUCAUUACUACAGGAACUAGCGAGGGUCUUCGACCCCAACAACCCAAAAGCGAAAGGACUCGGCGUAUUUACACUGAUCGGAAGGAAGGGGUUCGACUGGCGACCUUGAAGGAGCUCGUCGUUCAUGUUUGAUAAUCUGAUAAUGGAUUUCGUGCCGGAUACCUCGGUAGACUGGAAGAGGCGCUACACCGCGAGUUCCCGACAACAGAUCUGAUAGAAAGAUGAAAAUGCAAGGUUCAUGCGUGCCCUACUUUCACGACUUCUAGGAGAUUUUUGAUAAGGACCGAGCCCACGGGGAAGGAGCGGAGAACAUAAUAGAUGCAAUAAACAACAUAUGUUCACAAGAGAACCUUGGGGGGUUAGGUUAAAGCAAUAACUUUAAUAUGGGCUUCAGAGAUUUCUUCAUGCCCAAUUAAGUGCCUAACCAACAAUCUCCUAUUGCCGACUCAGGCAAUGUAUUUAGUAAUGUGUGUGAAACAAUGACUCGGAAGACAUCGAACAAAGAAGUGCAAGGCCGUCGGAGAAAUGUAUGAUUGGUCUGGAUGGGAUGCUUGGGAAAAUACAUGAUGCUUCCAAUAAUCAUCUUCCGUGCUUGGCUUCGCUUAUCUGAUAGUUGUUUGACCUCACUAAAGCUCGUAAAGAAGUGUUUGAUCUUGUCGAAGUUUUGUCGGGCCUAUCAAUUUGGCAACAAUUUGUUGUGUGUAGAUUUAUACUACAUAAGUUGGAACAUCUCGACUUCUUCAUGGGACUGCGCGAGGCAGUAAAGAAGGAGUAUGAGUUAAUGAAAUCAUAUUUUCGAUUGGCGA